Long non-coding RNA from Arachis stenosperma, 1210 nucleotides. RefSeq lists it as uncharacterized. The record is from RefSeq and is a predicted model, not a curated record. NCBI's taxonomy places the organism in Eukaryota, Viridiplantae, Streptophyta, Magnoliopsida, Fabales, Fabaceae. The transcript has 3 exons.
GAGUGGCGCCCCCGAAAGCGUGACAUUUUGAUAGUAAGGGUAUUAUAAUGAACCCUAAUCUCUUGUCACCGUUCAUCUUCCACCUCUCUCAUACAUCUCUUUGCUGCCGCCCAUUGCAGCUCAUCUCCUCAUCGGUGUCGCCACUGCAAACAAUGUCAUUGUUGCUGCCGUUAACAAGCUCUGCGAUUCGGUUGCGCCUUCUCUGUCACUUCCAAUAGGAACAAAUAGAGAAUGCUUUCUCACUGAGUUGCGCCAGCAAAUCAGAUCCACCAAAAUGUUUGACAGCAUCAUCGGUCAAAGAUUCGUCGCGAAAUGGUUCUGUACUUUGUUUUCUCUGUUUCUGGUCUUCCUUCUUCAUGCCUUUCAUUUAUUGCGGUUAUGCUGAUUGUGAUUUUCAAUUUCUUAUUUUAUCUCCUUUUAUUUUUUCUGUGUAUCGUUGAUUAAAUAGACGAAGCUUAGAAUCCAAUCGAUGUGAUAAGGAGAAAAAAGACUGCGAUGGAGAAGUUUAUUAAGAUCUUCUUGCAGUAUUCUUUUUUUCUGCUUUUGUUUUUGUUGAUUCGGUUACGAUAGAUAGAUGAAAUUCUUCACUGGAGUUGAUAAAUGAAUUCAUCAAUGCACAACUUUAGAAGAAUGUGCUAGUUUUAGUCUUAUGUGAUUUAACUAUAGUUAAAAGAUUUUGAGACAUUGUUUUAUUUUUAGAAUGGAAAUUGAUUGAGCUGAGAAAAUGUGUCUAUUUCUAAAAUCUGAUGCAUAUGAAUGAUGAAAGACUCUGAUGUUAGUAUUCUUGUUUAGUUGGAAGUGAAGUUUGGAGAGCUUCUAUAAAGUUGUGUAGAAGGGCAGGUUUUUGAUAUACUUGGAUAAAGCUUUUUUUUUUUUUUAAUCAAGUUUGAUGUCUUUUUGGCUCUACUUGAGUGCUCUAACAAUGACAUUCAACCUGUAAGGAGAAUGCAAUCUUGCUUGAAAGGGUGAAAACAUUAAAAUGAGAGCUUGAAGACCAAAAGUUCAAGUGCAAUUUAAGAUAUAUGAAGUAAUCAAGAAAGCAUUGAUGAUGUGAAGUGGACAUUGUUAUUAUCAUCAUGUCAUUCUCCUCUGGAUUAUUUUUUAUAGUUUUACAUUGUUUUAUUUAAUUUAGAAAAAAAAAUAGCAACAUUUUGCAUGCCUCAUAUGUGUUAGAAAAUAUGCGAAAGCAUAAUAAAAAUAUAUAUUUUUA